RNAcentral lists this ribosomal RNA (253 nucleotides) under uncultured bacterium. Its description in RNAcentral is "partial 16S ribosomal RNA". It matches the Rfam family "Bacterial small subunit ribosomal RNA", at positions 524 to 776 of the family's 1533-position model. The record is from RNAcentral.
UACGUAGGGGGCAAGCGUUGUCCGGAUUCAUUGGGCGUAAAGAGCGUGUAGGCGGCCAGGUAGGUCCGUUGUGAAAACUCGAGGCUCAACCUCGAGACGCCGAUGGAAACCAUCUGGCUAGAGUCCGGAAGAGGAGAGUGGAAUUCCCGGUGUAGCGGUGAAAUGCGCAGAUAUCGGGAAGAACACCCGUGGCUAAGGCGGCUCUCUAGUACGGUACUGACGCUGAGACGCGAAAGCGUGGGGAGCGAACAGG